UGGGCUGUGGCUCAGUGGCAGAGCGCUCGCCUGGCAUGUGUGAGGCACUGGGUUCAAUCCUUAGCACCACAU
Molecule: transfer RNA, 72 nt
Filed under: Ictidomys tridecemlineatus (thirteen-lined ground squirrel)
Lineage: Eukaryota; Metazoa; Chordata; Mammalia; Rodentia; Sciuridae
Description: Spermophilus tridecemlineatus (thirteen-lined ground squirrel) tRNA
Rfam family: tRNA
About the family: Transfer RNA (tRNA) molecules are approximately 80 nucleotides in length.
Source: Rfam by way of RNAcentral